UACGAAGGGGGCUAGCGUUGUUCGGAAUCACUGGGCGUAAAGGGCGCGUAGGCGGCUUUAUAAGUCGGGGGUGAAAGCCCGAGGCUCAACCUCGGAACUGCCUUCGAUACUGCGGGUCUCGAGUCCGGGAGAGGUGAGUGGAAUUCCUAGUGUAGGGGUGAAAUUCGUAGAUAUUAGGAAGAACACCAGUGGCGAAGGCGGCUCACUGGCCCGGUACUGACGCUGAGGCGCGAAAGCGUGGGGAGCAAACAGG
RNAcentral lists this ribosomal RNA (253 nucleotides) under uncultured bacterium. RNAcentral's name for it is "partial 16S ribosomal RNA". It matches the Rfam family "Bacterial small subunit ribosomal RNA", at positions 524 to 776 of the family's 1533-position model. The record is from RNAcentral.